This 207-nucleotide ribosomal RNA is filed under the name uncultured bacterium. Its description in RNAcentral is "partial 16S ribosomal RNA". It matches the Rfam family "Bacterial small subunit ribosomal RNA", at positions 568 to 774 of the family's 1533-position model. The record is from RNAcentral.
CUCGUAGGCGGUUUGUUGCGUCGGCUGUGAAAUCCCGAGGCUCAACCUCGGGUCUGCAGUCGAUACGAGCAAACUAGAGUGUUGCAGGGGAGACUGGAAUUCCUGGUGUAGCGGUGAAAUGCGCAGAUAUCAGGAGGAACACCGGUGGCGAAGGCGGGUCUCUGGGCAACAACUGACGCUGAGGAGCGAAAGCGUGGGGAGCGAACA